UAGGGAAUCUUCCACAAUGGACGCAAGUCUGAUGGAGCAACGCCGCGUGAGUGAAGAAGGCUUUCGGGUCGUAAAACUCUGUUAUUGAAGAAGAACGUGCGUGACAGUAACUGGUCAUGCAGUGACGGUAUUCAAUCAGAAAGUCACGGCUAACUACGUGCCAGCAGCCGCGGUAAUACGUAGGUGGCAAGCGUUGUCCGGAUUUAUUGGGCGUAAAGCGAGUGCAGGCGGUCUUUUAAGUCUGAUGUGAAAGCCUUCGGCUUAACCGAAGAAGGGCAUCGGAAACUGGGAGACUUGAGUGCAGA
This 305-nucleotide ribosomal RNA is filed under the name uncultured bacterium. RNAcentral describes it as "partial 16S ribosomal RNA". It matches the Rfam family "Bacterial small subunit ribosomal RNA", at positions 355 to 652 of the family's 1533-position model. The record is from RNAcentral.